Molecule: long non-coding RNA, 4818 nt
Filed under: Glycine max (soybean)
Lineage: Eukaryota; Viridiplantae; Streptophyta; Magnoliopsida; Fabales; Fabaceae
Description: long non-coding RNA (GMAX_LNC003109)
Source: RNAcentral
UGCACAUACGGAUGCGGGUGGGAUUAUCCUUCUCUUGCAAGAUGACAAGGUCAGUGGCCUUCAGCUUCUCAAAAAUGGCCAAUGGGUGGAUGUGCCUCCAAUGCGCCAUUCCAUUGUUGUUAACCUUGGUGACCAAAUUGAGGUAUGUACCUUUUUCUUUCAAUAAUGGUUAUGUCCCUAAAGCAUAACACAGUACUUAUAGUAAUUGUCGUUCAACAUUUUGGUCUAAUAUCAUAGGUCAUCACCAAUGGGAGAUACAAGAGUGUGGAGCAUCGUGUGAUUGCCCAAACGAAUGGGACCAGAAUGUCCGUAGCCUCAUUCUACAACCCUGCCAGUGAUGCUCUUAUCUACCCUGCACCAGUAUUGUUGGAGCAAAAGGCAGAGGAUACAGAACAAGUGUAUCCAAAAUUUGUAUUUGAGGAUUACAUGAAGCUCUAUGCUACACUCAAGUUCCAGCCUAAGGAGCCCAGAUUUGAAGCCAUGAAGGCUGUUGGCUCAUUUUAGAUUACUUCCAAUUACGACUGCUCAAUUGCAAGAAGAAAUUUUAUUAAUUGAGAAAAUAUGAAAAGAAUUAAGAAAUAGAAAUUAAGCUUGGAAAUGUUUAUUUAUUGAUACAAUUUGUUGUUUACAGUGGUUGAUUUGAUUUGCUUGUAUUUUGAUAAAGGAAAAUAACCAAAUUAUUCAAAUAAUAUGCAAUUUUACUGUUCUUUCUCUCCUAUCUUGACCUCUUAAUAUUUCCAAUAAUUUUUAUUAUUUCCUUUUUGGGGGAAAUUUUUUCAAUGGUUUGGGGUCUUCAUGACUAUUUUUCUUUUUACAUUAUUAGUUACUCAUGGAUGACAAGUGAGAGUUGGAUUAUUGUUAUUUUGAUAUCUGAAUGGACUUUUACGCAUACACCAUCAGCUAUUAUACACACGCUGAAUUAUCUUUGUGUACCGUUAACUGGCACGUAAAUAGAUAGUAUAUCAUGUAUUUUAAUUCAAGUCUUUUAAUGAUAGGAAUAGAAUGACAGACAAAUAAUACUUUUAAGGUUUUUUUUUAAAAAAAUUUAAUACUUUCAUAAAAACUUAAAGUGGCAAUCAAUUACACUCUCGAGAAUCAAAUUCUCCAUUCACCCAUUUAUUUUUAAAAAAGUUGAGGAUGAAUAACAUCAACAUUAUUAUAUUGAAGGGUUUUAAUUGAGAUAGAGAGUUUUAAUUGGACGAGCAGGAAAUAAGACAUUGUGAGACGGAUGAUUUCAGUCAUUUGCAAAAUCACUUAAAUGAUGUCCAUUUCUCUCAUGGAGGAGGAUUAGAACAUCUUAAUAAACACCAUUUAAAAUCAAAGUGUUUUUCAGUAUUGCGGACAUUCUUCCCCAAUGAAAAAUAAAACCAACAAAUUCAUAAAAAAUAAGUUUUUUCCUUUUUGUUUCUAUACAUUUUGCAAAAAAGUUGAAGGUUACUUAUCUACCCGUUGUUUAUUUCUAAUUUUUAUAAAAAUAGAGAGGAAGGAAAUUGAAAUAAAAUCAGAUACAAAUAUCAAUUUUUCAUUAUUUAUUUGAAAGAAAAAAUAGAAAUGACGAGUUUUUAUGGCAAGAAUCUCCCUCAAAUUGGCAUGAACUAAUAAAUUUUUAUGUUAAGAUAAAAAAAUUGUUGAUUAAAAAGUUUCUUUUAACAUAUAGUAUUCAUUCUCACCUUAUGAUAUAUGAAUAACUCAAGACCAUAUCAUUGGAUCGAUAAAAAUAUUUUUUAUUAUCAUGAUUCAUUCUUAGUCAUAUGUUUAGAUAUACGAUAUAUUAAGUUUUAAAUGUUAUUCCAUAAAAUUAUAAAAAAAAUUUAUUUAGACUCACAUUUACAAUUUGCGUAUAAUUUUAUUUAUUGAGAUUUUACCAAAUUUCACUGCAUGAUGCCCAUUUGAAAGAAAGAAGAAAUCUAACUUUGACAAGUGUCAAGAGCAGCCACCAGCAAUGGCAUGAACCUGACAUGUCUAGUGUUUUUUUUUUUUAAUUAAAAGUUACUUUCGAAUUAAAAUUAUAAAUAAUAAGUUUAAAACUAAAGUAGAAUUUGCAGACAAUUUUCAUCUUUUUAAUUUAAAAGAAAUGUCUUAAACAAAGUAGAGAAAAAAUAAAAGAAAAAAGAGAAAACGAUUUUUUAUUUUAAAAAAUAUUUUUUUCUUUCCUUAAUAGAAAUUAAGUUACUAACUUUUAAGAUUUUUCAGCAAAUAUAUUUAACUUAAUUUCUCUUUUAAAAAUUAAAAAAUAAACUGACUGGAGCGCCACUUAGAUGGCACUGUAUAACAAGAACCUGAGACUAUUUUGGUCCACAUAUUCUGCUUUCACUUCCUUUUCUAACAUUCCUAUGGUUUGUUUCCACACGUGACAAAAAUAACGUACAAAGUACGUAUGCCCGUGAUAGCCUCCAGUUCCCCAUAGUUAAAAGACAAUAUUCGAUUUAUAUUUGGACUUAAAGAGUCUUAAUUCAAUUUUUUUGUGCUGAGAAAAAACUAUGAUAAAGAUAAAGAUGAAGAGACCCCGAUGGACAGGAUAUAUAUUCUGACUAAAAGUUUUCCAGAUGGGGUCUUAAAAACUUAUUUAAGAAUUAUCCUAUCAGUUAGACGCCACAGCUUAAUACCUUAUUUAACUUAUCUUUAUUUUGGUGGCUCCUAUUAGUAUUAUUAGUCAAGUGGUGAAAGGAUCCAAAAGAGAAAGACAACUAGUUUAGGCAGAGAUAUAUCUUUGUUUCCUUUUAAAAUUUGUAUCAAUAUCUGUUUUUCAGCAAAGAAAUUGUCCAGUGAUAAUUUUCAACUAAUGGGGUCCAAUUACAUUGUUAAUGUUCAAUUACAUCUUAGAACCUAAGCCUAAAACAAUGUGAUUUUCUUUUUUCUUUUGGUGAAUUAUGAAAUUUUUCUUUUUUUAUUGAGACUUCUAACUUGGACUUUUUUUUUUUUACCAAAGUAGGUGAAGACAAAAAAUAAUUAACUGAAAAGAUUCUUUUUUUAUCCUGGAUUGUCCUAUGAUGGUGUAAUUUUUUUUUUUUUUACAUUUAUAUGUAAGAUCCAUGUAAAAAGUUAAAAAUAACUACUACUUGAAGGCAUCACUCAGUAAUUUUUUCCGCUACAAGGCAAACACACGUCAGAAAACAAUUCCUAUAAAUUGUUCUCAUACUAUUUGAAUAAAUAAUUUCCAAAAACUACCUUAGUGAAAAAGUCUUGUAGGCUAUGUUGUAAUCAAUUUUAGAUGGAGGUAGAUUUUGAGUGUACCAAAUAAAAUAAUCGGAUGGCAAAUCUAUUGUUACACAAGUACUGUUAGAUGUUUGAAUAAGCAGUUCACACGGUUUUUUAAAUCGUUCAUUAAUAACAUAAAUGCUGUUAAAACCUUAGAACUUCAUUUGCUUAUGCCACCUUCUAAGAAACCACAUGCUUAAAUGCCUUAGUACAAUUUAAGGGAAGAUGCAAGGAAGGUUGGUUUCGCCUCCAGAUGAGUCAAACGGUACCAGAAUAUAGAAUUCAAGGAUGCAAAAUGAUCUCGUGGCAUAGAUUGGCUUAACAAAGUAAGUAAGCAUGCAUCUCAUGAUUCAUCAUGAAUCACAUGGGAGAAUUUCACUUGUCCUCACUACACACUCUUUUGCAUUCCUAUAAAUGGCACACACCUAGCAUCCCAAUAUGCAUCAACAAAACACAUUAACAUUUCUCAGAAGAAAAAAAAGUGAGAGAUGGAGAACUUUCCCGUGAUCAACUUGGAGAAUCUCAACGGUGAGGAGAGGAAGGCUACCCUUAACCAGAUUGAAGAUGCUUGCCAGAACUGGGGAUUUUUUGAGGUACCCCACGAACCUGAUCAAAAGGCUUUGUUAUAUUAUAUAUAUAUAUAUAUAUAUAUAUAUAUAUAUAUAUCAUUUGCAAGUGUACAUCCCAAAAUUUUCUUCAUGUUGUUCAUUUGAACUAUAUUAAUUAUGUUGCUAUAUAUCCCGAAUUGUAGUUGGUGAGUCAUGGAAUACCCCUUGAACUAUUGGAUACUGUGGAAAGGUUAACAAAAGAGCAUUAUAGGAAAUGCAUGGAGAAGAGGUUCAAGGAGGCAGUGUCAAGCAAAGGGUUAGAAGCUGAAGUGAAGGACAUGGAUUGGGAAAGCACGUUCUUCUUGCGCCAUCUCCCAACCUCCAACAUCUCCGAAAUCCCAGAUCUCAGCCAAGAGUAUAGGUAAAAACAAAUUAAAAACUAAGAAAUACAUUUACAUGAAUAAUGAAAUAUUGUUGAUGGCAUAUUGGCAUAUAUAUUAUAUAAUUAUGUUUUCAUUACCAAUACUCCAACAGUAACAAAACAAUGCUGCAUUAAUUAACUGUGUGAUUUGUGUGACAAAUUUGAUAAUGUGAUGCAUAUCUACACAUGACAUGGUCUGAACUGUGAGUUAAUGAUGCAGGGAUGCAAUGAAGGAAUUUGCACAGAAAUUGGAGAAACUAGCAGAGGAGUUGCUAGACCUGUUAUGUGAAAAUCUUGGAUUAGAAAAAGGGUACUUGAAAAAUGCAUUUUAUGGAUCAAGAGGUCCAAAUUUUGGGACAAAGGUAGCAAACUACCCUGCAUGCCCAAAGCCAGAGUUGGUGAAGGGUCUUCGUGCACAUACGGAUGCGGGUGGGAUUAUCCUUCUCUUGCAAGAUGACAAGGUCAGUGGCCUUCAGCUUCUCAAAAAUGGCCAAUGGGUGGAUGUGCCUCCAAUGCGCCAUUCCAUUGUUGUUAACCUUGGUGACCAAAUUGAGGUAUGUACCUUUUUCUUUCAAUAAUGGUUAUGUCCCUAAAGCAUAACACAGUACUUAUAGUAUUGUCGUUCAACAUUUUGGUCUAAUAUCAUAGGUC